UGGGGAAUAUUGGACAAUGGGCGCAAGCCUGAUCCAGCAAUGCCGCGUGUGUGAAGAAGGCCUUCGGGUUGUAAAGCACUUUUAUCAGGAGCGAAACGCUGUCGGCUAAUACCCGGCGGAACUGACGGUACCUGAGGAAUAAGCACCGGCUAACUUCGUGCCAGCAGCCGCGGUAAUACGAAGGGUGCAAGCGUUAAUCGGAAUUACUGGGCGUAAAGCGUGCGUAGGCGGUUUCUUAAGUCUGCUGUGAAAUCCCCGGGCUCAACCUGGGAAUGGCAGUGGAUACUGGGAGGCUAGAGUGUGUCAGAGGGUGGUGGAAUUCCCGGUGUAGCGGUGAAAUGCGUAGAGAUCGGGAGGAACAUCAGUGGCGAAGGCGGCCACCUGGGACAACACUGACGCUGAGGCACGAAAGCGUGGGGAGCAAACAGGAUUAGAUACCCUGGUAGUCCACGCCCUAAACGAUGCGAACUGGAUGUUGGUCUCAACUCGGAGAUCAGUGUCGAAGCUAACGCGUUAAGUUCGCCGCCUGGGGAGUACGGUCGCAAGACUGAAACUCAAAGGAAUUGACGGGGUCAUGAGCUG
Molecule: ribosomal RNA, 582 nt
Filed under: uncultured bacterium
Lineage: Bacteria
Description: partial 16S ribosomal RNA
Rfam family: Bacterial small subunit ribosomal RNA
Source: RNAcentral